RNAcentral lists this long non-coding RNA (2162 nucleotides) under Anolis carolinensis (green anole). RNAcentral's name for it is "lncRNA (ENSACAG00000045480.1)". The record is from RNAcentral. Lineage: Eukaryota; Metazoa; Chordata; Lepidosauria; Squamata; Anolidae.
GUCUAUCUUGUUUGCUGUGUUAUAAUAAAAUAAUAAUAAUAAUAAUAAUAACCUGCUUUGAUUGAAGUCAAAAAUCAGAAACUCCUCAAAGCACAGCAGACAAAAAACCAGUACAAGAAAACUGCACUACAAACUAGAGCUGACAGCUGGCACAACAAAACACUGCAUGGAAAGUUCCUUGACAAAAUUGAAGGAAAAGCUGAUAAAGAGAAGACCUGGCUCUGGCUCACAAAUGGGACCCUGAAGAAGGAGACAGAAGGCCUGAUCCUUGCAGCCCAGGAGCAAGACAUCAGGACAAAGGCAAUUCAGGCCAAGAUCGAAAAAUCAGCUCAUGACCCAAAGUGCAGACUGUGCAAGGAAACCGAUGAAACCAUGGAUCAUAUCCUCAGCUGCUGUAAGAAAAUUGCACAGACAGACUACAAACAGAGGCACAACUAUGUGGCCCAAAUGAUUCAUUGGAACCUAUGCCUCAAGUACCACCUCCCAGCAGUUAAGAACUGGUGGGAUCACAAACCUGCAAAGGUUGUGGAAAAUGAACACGCAAAGAUACUGUGGGACUUCCGCAUCCAGACUGACAAAGUUCUGGAACACAACACACCAGACAUCACAGUUGUGGAAAAGAACAAGGUUUGGAUCAUUGAUGUUGCCAUCCCAGGUGACAGUCGCAUUGACGAAAAACAACAGGAAAAACUCAGCUGCUAUCAGGACCUCAAGAUUAAACUUCAAAGACUCUGGCAGAAACGAGUGCAGGUGGUCCCGGUGGUGAUGGGCACACUGGGUGCCGUGCCAAAAGAUCUCAGCCGGCAUUUGGAAACAAUAGACAUUGACAAAAUUACGAUCUGUCAACUGCAAAAGGCCACCCGACUGGGAUCUGUGCACAUCAUCCGAAAAUACAUCACAUACCCUGUUUCCCCUAAAAUAAGACAUCCCCAGAAAAUAAGACCUAGUAGAGGUUUUGCUAAAUUGCUAAAUAUAAGGCCUCCCCCGAAAGUAAGACCUAGCAAAGUUUGUGUUAGGAAGCAUGCCUGCCAAACAGAACACCAGAGCAUGUAGGAUCGGUAAAUGUACAUACCAUAGAUGUACAUAACAUGUACACAAAUGUACAUAACAUGGAAAUAUUGGUAGUCACAAGAAGUUCUUGAUAGGAUUCACAGUUUGUCUGGUUAUGCUGGUUUGUGAUGACAACUACUGUACAGUAUAUAGUAAAUGUUCAUUUUUUGUUCAAUAAUAAAUGUGAAUUCUUCUUCAUGGAAAAAUAAGACAUCCCCUGAAAAUAAGACCUAGUGCAUCUUUGGGAGCAAAAAUUAAUAUAAGACACUGUCUUAUUUUCGGGGAAACACGGUAGUCCUAGACACUUGGGAAGUGUUCGACUUGUGAUUUUGUGAUACGAAAUCCAGCAUAUCUCUCUUUUUUGCUGUGUCAUACAAUAAAAUAAUAAUAAUAAUAACAACAACAACAACAACUUUAUUUUUAUAUCCCGCUCCCCAAGGGGAUACGGGGCGGCUCACAUGGGGACAAGCCCAGUAUCAUCAUACAUUAAAAUACAAUCGUAAAUUGUAAUUUAAAACGAUAUAAAACAAUAAAAACAACAUAACAGCAUAAAACAGCAUAAAAUUUUUCUACUUGACAGAUGCAACUGUCUUUCGGGCUGCUUAGGUCAACAGCAAGCUAGGCUAUUAAUGGUUGGCUAUGCUAAACCCGACCUGGACUUCGAUCUCAUGACUUCUCGGUCAGUAGUGAUUUAUUGCAACUGGCUACUAACCAAAUGCACCACAGCCCAUCAUCGAUUCCAUACCAUGGGCCAUCUUGGAGACUCGUGGCAUGGAUGACAAAAUUGUUGUCCAAAAAACUAGAAGGCUAAAGUAUACUUAUACUUAGGUAACUCCUCGUUGUCCAAGUAUGACGGACUUCCUAGUCUUGGCGAUGGAUACGUAGGUGGCUGUGGAGCUCUAUUCUUGACCCAUAUGCUCUUCCAAAGUGAAGGCAUCAAUUUGCAGGUGGAAAGUGGUCCCGGUCAGGGUUGCCUUCCUCUUGGUACGUUUCUCCCUUUUGCCCCCCAUUCGUGCCUCUUCAUACGAACGCUAAAUAGGUUGAGUUGCUGUGAUUUUUCUGGACUGUAUGGCCAUGUUCCUGACGUUUCACCCACAUCUAUGGCAGACAUC